CAUCUUUUUCUUGUCUCCUCCACUCUCUGGUAAACCUCCAUAAUUUUGUGGGUCAUGCAGGAUAACUCUUUUACCUUAUCAAAUCUACAAUUAGGCAUGUGCUAACAUAUUAAGUGAACAAAACAAAGGAAACAUUUCUUUGAAUAACUGCUGUUAUUACGGUUAUUUUUUAUUCCUGAUGCAAACUGAUAGUCAGUUAAAUUUUCUUUCGGAAAUCUGCUGCCCUAUGCAGUUUGCUUAUUAACAACAACAGGUUGAAAUAUAACUUCCGCUGUCUGGUGACGGGUUUCCUUUUUGAGGUAUUUUCUCAAGGUAAGCACGCGCACGCUUCUCCUCUCCAAUUGCAAAAUUAAAUUUGCUGACCUUGAUGUUUUGCUCCCUUUUCUCCUUUGAUUUUUCUUUUUCACUAAGGACGUAUUCUGUAUAACACUUCCUGUUAUACUCAUCCCACUUUUGUUCUCUCACUUGUUCUUCUUGUCUUUUUUUCUCUUUUAGCCUUAUGGCAUUUUUUCUGCCUUCAUCAAUAGCUUUUAGUAUUUCUGCUCUCAUUUGUUCUUCUUCGAGGCAUCUGGCUUUAAAUUCUCUGGCCUCUUUUUCCGCAUAAGCCUUUUCUAAUUCUGCCUCUCUUAAAGCUUUUUUAACAGCCUCUGCUUUUUGCAUUGCUUCCAGUUUUUCCGAAGCGAUGUCUGCUGUUAGCUGUCUUCUUCUUACUCUGGCCAUGGUGUGAGCCAUCGAGAGAGCCAUCUUUUUAUCAACUUCUUUUUGAACACGUUUGUCAUGUUCAUAGCGCUCUUUCUGUUUUUGAAUUUCAAGAGGAAGCAGAGGACACGUGUAGGCCCAAUGACAAACAAAUUCAUCACCCAUAACGCACUUAUUAAGGGGAUCACCGGGACAGCGAGAAAUGAUCACAGGUCUGUGAGGCUGUAAACACGUGCACCUGUGGGUGACCAGGGGGACGCUCUAAAACUCUCAGGAACCACGAGUAUAUUAGUUUAUUAUAUCGUGGACUUCACUGAGUGAAAAAGGAUGAAGAUCCAGUGCAGCUGGUCUCAGGAGAUGAUGAAAAAGCCUGAACACCUUCUCUACAACAACAACAAGGUGAGUUUAUUGUUGUGAUUGAUUUAGUUUUUGAUGGAUUGUAUGUUACUUUAAUUAUAA
This 1158-nucleotide long non-coding RNA is filed under the name Oreochromis niloticus (Nile tilapia). Its description in RNAcentral is "lncRNA (ENSONIG00000042409.1)". The record is from RNAcentral. Lineage: Eukaryota; Metazoa; Chordata; Actinopteri; Cichliformes; Cichlidae.